RNAcentral lists this ribosomal RNA (1017 nucleotides) under Laonice sp. G GT-2019. RNAcentral's name for it is "SSU rRNA". It matches the Rfam family "Eukaryotic small subunit ribosomal RNA", at positions 88 to 1097 of the family's 1831-position model. RNAcentral also lists the same sequence under 1 other name. Lineage: Eukaryota; Metazoa; Annelida; Polychaeta; Spionida; Spionidae. The record is from RNAcentral.
CGCGAAUGGCUCAUUAAAUCAGUUAUGGUUCCUUAGAGCUCCUGAUCCUACAUGGAUAACUGUAGUAAUUCUAGAGCUAAUACAUGCAACUAAGCUCCGACCUUCGGGGACGAGCGCACUUAUUAGACCAUGAUCAACCGGGGGCAACCCCGAACGACUGGUGACUCUGGAUAAACUACCGCGGAUCGCAUGGCCUCGAGCUGGCGAUUCAUCUUACAACUGUCUGACCUAUCAACUAGAAGGUAGAGUAUAUGUCUACCUUGGUGAUGACGGGUAACGGGGAAUCAGGGUUCGAUUCCGGAGAGGGAGCAUGAGAAACGGCUACCACAUCCAAGGAAGGCAGCAGGCACGCAAAUUACCCACUCCUGGCAAGGGGAGGUAGUGACGAAAAAUAACAAUACGGGACUCUUUCGAGGCCCCGUAAUUGGAAUGAGUACGAUGUAAAAUCCCUAACGAGGAACUAAUGGAGGGCAAGUCUGGUGCCAGCAGCCGCGGUAAUUCCAGCUCCAUUAGCGUAUAUUAAAGCUGUUGCAGUUAAAAAGCUCGUAGUUGGAUCUGGGGAGCAGGCUGGCGGGACCGCUUCACUGCGGAACUGCCUGUCCUGCCCUUUGCGCCGGGCUUCACAACAUGCGGGUUGCUCUUCAAUGAGUGUCUCCGCGUGGCCCGGUACUCUUACUUUGAAAAAAUUAGAGUGCUCUAAGCAGGCGGACACGCCUGAAUAAUGUUGCAUGGAAUAAUGGAACAGGACCUCGGUUCUGUGAAGUUGGUCGUCAGAACUGAAGUAAUGAUCAAUAGGGGCUGACGGGGGCAUCCGUAUUACGGGGCGAGAGGUGAAAUUCUAUGACCCUCGUAAGACGCCCAAAAGCGAAAGCAUUUGCCAAGAAUGCCUUCAUUAAUCAAGAACGAAAGUCAGAGGAUCGAAGACGAUCAGAUACCGUCGUAGUUCUGACCGUAAACGCUGGCGUCUGGUGAUUGUCAGGCGUGGGUCUAACGACCCUGACAGCAACCCCUCGGGAA